UACGUAGGGGGCAAGCGUUGUCCGGAAUCAUUGGGCGUAAAGCGCGUGUAGGCGGCUCGAUUAGUCCGCUCUGAAAGCCCAGGGCUCAACCCUGGAAUGGCCUUCGAUACUGGUUGGCUCGAGACCGGAAGAGGUCAGUGGAACUGCGAGUGUAGAGGUGAAAUUCGUAGAUAUUCGCAAGAACACCAGUGGCGAAGGCGGCUCACUGGACCGGUAUUGACGCUGAGGUGCGAAAGCGUGGGGAGCAAACAGG
RNAcentral lists this ribosomal RNA (253 nucleotides) under uncultured bacterium. RNAcentral's name for it is "partial 16S ribosomal RNA". It matches the Rfam family "Bacterial small subunit ribosomal RNA", at positions 524 to 776 of the family's 1533-position model. The record is from RNAcentral.